CGGAAGUGGUUCCCGCCGCAGAUCCCGGAAGUGACGCAGUAGCAACCCGCGGGUCCAGCUCCUCCCGCGUUGCUAGGGCUCCGGCCUUUGUCCCAACUCGGGGGCUUUGAGCGGGAGGGGCCUGGGGCUGCGGGAACAGACCUCCCCGGAGUUUCAAAGCCCCUUUGUGUCAGAGCCCAUUUCAGCAGACGAUGGCUCCAGCAGUAUUGCCACCCCAGAAGCUCUUCUGCCCAUGGCUGCUUUGACCAGCAGCAUACUGUGGAAGGAACUGUGUCAGCCUCAGGCAUGGCACUCGCCUGGCCUGGAAGUCAGCCACGUAAGAAGGGUGAGCAGCCUGAGAUCAGUGAGCUGUGAGAAGUCCAAACCACACGGAGGAAGGGAAUCCAAGGAACAUCAGACACCAGAUCAGGGAAUGAAGAAGCCAUCUGGGAGAGGUGGAGCGAUGGACAGAUCUGAGAUAAAGCAAUGAUGGGAAAAUGUUAAGUGUACCAUCUAGGUGGUUCAGCUCUGGUGUGAAACCAAGAAUGCUGAGUGAGGCAGAUCCGGAUAAAUCCAAGACGCAGGACCAAAACAAGGGUCCGCUUUCCUUAGGUGAUCUGGACAUCUUCCUCAUGCCAGAAAGGCCAAGGACAUGUUUCUCUCAGAGGCAGCAGAGCCCAAAUAGCAGUGGAGAUUCAUCACAUCCCAGACUCUUUCUCUGGGCCUCCAAGAGCCUUGUAGCAGGUAACCAACUUUGACAAGACCUGUUCUUCUCUUGCUUUCUACAAGGUAUGAACUCAGGACUGGAUUCUACUCUCAGAGGUCUAGAAACACAAGGUGCCUGAGUCCUAUUCCUGUGCUCUAGGAUUUUCCAGGAGCCAGUCUACUACAAGGAGGAGAGGUUCACAUUCCAAUGCUGGGCUCAUUAGAGAGGUCAGCAAACAGAAUAUCCAUCAGAAGAGAAAUUACAUGUGAACAUCAACGUGCAUAUCCCAGAAAAAAACAGACACUCUCACUUGGUCUUGAGACCCAAGAUCUCCCACAGUCCUGAAACCUGAAAAGUUUUAUUCAGCAGACAUUCAUUGAGUACCAACUGCAUGUCAGGUAAACACUGGGGACAAGAUCUUGGGCUCUGGUAGGGGAGAGAGACAUAGACACAAACUAAUACAAUAGGAUAUUUUGAGUCCUACAAAGGAGAGCUCAUCAGAGAAGUUCUAAAAAGGAGAAGCAUCAGACCUUUGACAAUCACCAAAGGCAUCCCAGAGUAAGUGGCAUUCACUCUCCAGAAGGAGAUUACAACAGAAGCAAAGACCUAGGCCAGGGCUUGCACUUCCAAUUCCCCACAAGGAGUGAGUCCAGAACUUCAUCUCUCUGAAAUGCUUCAUAGAAGCAGCACAAACUUCACAUGCAUCUAGCAUCUGGAUGAUAUUAAUUACCUCCGUGUUUAUUAAGUGCCCCAUUAAACUUGACUCUAACCAACAGCACAGUUGGCUCCCCGGGUUAAAUCCACACUAAAUAUUCAAUUACACACAGCACAAGCAGAAUCGUAUUUGGCAGGGAUUAGCUCACUUGUCCUGUGAAGGCACUUUUCCAGCUGAAUAAUAAUGGUGUCUUUUAAUUGUGUGGUAUCUUCCUCUUGAGGGACUUUAAGCCAGAACAUCUCCUCAGAGGGAGACAGAAACUGGGUGUCAUCAUAUCCAUUUUGUAGUUGGAUGAACUCAGUAAAGAGAUCUGGCACUCGCCACAGAAGCUGGAAUCUUAUUUCUCUUUCAGUGCUCAGCUCAAAUGCCCUCCUCUUUGAAGAUUUUUCAGUUCCCUCAUCACAAUUUCCUUGCAGUGCAUGACGCUGAAAGAAGCUGAGAGAAACGGCAGAGCCCUCCCUUGUGUACAGGGCCCUGUGAUGGAUGCUUGGCCUGCAUUCACUCACUCCAUCCUCCUUCCCCGCAGCACACCCCCCCACCUCCACCCCCAAGGGAGAGUUUCCACUUCACAGCUGAGAAAACUGAGAGAGAAGUUGAGAGAUGGGUCUUGGUUUGCACAAUUAAUAACUAUAAGGGUCAGGAUUCAAACCCAGGCCUCUGAGCCCAGUGUCUUAACCACGCACAAUCCUGGCCCAUUUGUUCUUUCAUUCAACAAGGAUUUAUUGAGCACCUAAUGUGUACCCGGGGCUUGCUAGGAGUAUAGUACUUGCUAGGGGUCCAGGAGUGAGGAAAACAUCGCCCUUGUCCUAACAGAGAUUAUCAUCUAAGCAGGGAAGACAGAUUUAAAAUCCUUCAACAAACAGUUAUUUAAUUACACAUCAAUCAUCUGGCAAUGUUAGCAGAAUGUAAGUCAACUGGAAAGACACUUAGCAGGGCAAGAAAACAGGUGCCUAGAUGGGUUCUUCUUUUCUGUAAUUCAGGAGUCAAUCAACUCUUCCUUUUUUACUUUGAUUCUGUAGCUGAGCAAUGCCUACAGAUGCCCACAAUUGCUUUGGUAAUAUCUACAAAUCACUUCCUUUUCUGAAUCAUGGCUUUCCCAGCUGUAAAAUGGGAAUGAAAAUAACAAACCACUGGAAACAACCCAAAUACCCAUCAACAGGAGACUGUUUACAUAAAUGAUAGUACAUUUACACCAUGGAAUAUACAGUUAUUAAAAAGCAUGAGACAACUGGAAAUGCUAGGG
Canis lupus familiaris (dog) is the source of this 2643-nucleotide long non-coding RNA. RefSeq lists it as uncharacterized. NCBI's taxonomy places the organism in Eukaryota, Metazoa, Chordata, Mammalia, Carnivora, Canidae. The record is from RefSeq and is a predicted model, not a curated record. The transcript has 3 exons.